AUAUUUAUCUAGAGAAUGGUUGGUUUUGGUAAACUUCCAAAGUACCAUCAGGAUCCUACAACAGAAGAGUUAGCUAAAACACUCGACUGUUGGCCUUCAUUGAACUAUUAUAUCACUGGUUGUAAAUAUCACGUAACUUUUAUAGACUUUACACCCAUUCAAGAUUGGUGUAAACACAUGUCAUACAAGAGGUUUGCGGAAGCAAUUAUCAUGGCCUCCAAGAAAUAUAAAAUUGCCUACAAUAAGAAACGUUCUGGAUGGGCAGAUGAUAUUUUUAAGUGGGAACAUACAAUUUGGUCUGGUCUUCCAAUGGACUUAAAAGGGGUUAAUACAAGCUACUUCAUUCUACAAGCUAUGGUUAUGUGGGGGAGUGGUAGACGAAUG
Molecule: unclassified non-coding RNA, 384 nt
Filed under: Zea mays
Lineage: Eukaryota; Viridiplantae; Streptophyta; Magnoliopsida; Poales; Poaceae
Description: misc RNA Zm00001eb192030
Source: RNAcentral